GAUCUUGAUAUUGGAUCCAUACCCAUAUCGAUAAAAAAUCAGAUCAGGUCGGAUCGGAUCCAUGGCUGAAUUUAAUGAUCCAUUGGAUCAUUUGGGUUGGGUCGGGUCUAUAUAUAAUCUGGCUCCAAUCCAUAAAAUGCGGGUCAGAUUCGGAUUCGAUUCAGAUCGGAUCGGAUCACAGAUUUAAUUUAUUUGAAACCUACCAUCAGUGAAUACUAAUGCUUGAUGACAACUAAGGAAGGCCUCUUUUCUUAUAUUGCUGAAGGGACGGAUUAUAUAUUGAUAGAUCGGGAAGAGAGAAUUCACCAAAAAAAAAGCAAGGAAGGAAGAAAUUUCAAGCAUCGUAGUACAUG
This 353-nucleotide long non-coding RNA is filed under the name Elaeis guineensis (African oil palm). RNAcentral describes it as "long non-coding RNA (EGUI_LNC007312)". Lineage: Eukaryota; Viridiplantae; Streptophyta; Magnoliopsida; Arecales; Arecaceae. The record is from RNAcentral.